GACGAACCGUGCGAACGUUAUUCGGAAUCACUGGGCUUAAAGCGCGUGUAGGCGGGGUGGCACGUCGGUCGCUGAAAGCCCCCGGCUCAACUGGGGAAGGGGCGCCGAUACGACCACCCUGGAGGGACGUAGGGGGACCUGGAACUUCCGGUGGAGCGGUGAAAUGCGUUGAGAUCGGAAGGAACGCCCGUGGCGAAAGCGAGGUCCUGGACGUUUACUGACGCUGAGACGCGAAAGCCAGGGGAGCGAACGGG
RNAcentral lists this ribosomal RNA (254 nucleotides) under uncultured bacterium. RNAcentral's name for it is "partial 16S ribosomal RNA". It matches the Rfam family "Bacterial small subunit ribosomal RNA", at positions 524 to 776 of the family's 1533-position model. The record is from RNAcentral.